UAGGGAAUAUUGGUUAAUGUGCGAAAGCGCGAACCAGCAACGCCGCGUGUGCGAUGAAGGCCUUCGGGUCGUAAAGCACUUUUUGCAGGGAAGAGGAAGGACGGUACCUGCAGAAUAAGUCUCGGCUAACUACGUGCCAGCAGCCGCGGUAAAACGUAGGAGACGAGCGUUAUCCGGAUUUACUGGGCGUAAAGCGCGUGCAGGCGGCAUGGCAAGUUGGAUGUGAAAGCUCCCGGCUUAACUGGGAGAGGUCGUUCAAUACUGCCAGGCUUGAGAGUGGUAGAGGGAAGCGGAAUUCCGGGUGUAGUGGUGAAAUGCGUAGAUAUCCGGAGGAACACCAGUGACGAAAGCGGCUUCCUGGCCCAUUUCUGACGCUCAAAAGCGAAAGCUAGGGUAGCA
Molecule: ribosomal RNA, 399 nt
Filed under: uncultured bacterium
Lineage: Bacteria
Description: bacterial SSU rRNA
Rfam family: Bacterial small subunit ribosomal RNA
Source: RNAcentral